GCAUAAACUCCGGGCACAUGUGUCCGGACGAGACGUUUCCCGGGCGGUCAUGCCCUGAUCCAACCCGACACGGAGACGCACGCAAUCCGGGGCUAGUCUGAAGGUUGUUCCGACCCGAUGGCGAAACAAACAGGAAAUAAGGACAGGUUAGGUUGUUCUGCAGCUGACAGGUCACGAAAAUCAAGCAGAACUAAGCAUGUAGAAAGCGUAUGGCUUCCGUGUUUGGACGCGGGUUCGACUCCCGCCAGCUCCACAA
Molecule: transfer-messenger RNA, 256 nt
Filed under: Bacteroidetes bacterium GWF2_41_9
Lineage: Bacteria; Pseudomonadati; Bacteroidota
Description: partial transfer-messenger RNA
Rfam family: transfer-messenger RNA
About the family: Bacterial tmRNA, also known as 10Sa RNA or SsrA, is named for its dual tRNA and mRNA-like properties.
Source: RNAcentral